GACGGAAGAUCCGAGCGUUAUCCGGAAUUACUGGGCGUAAAGAGAUGCGUAGGCGGUUUGUUAAGUAGAUUGUGAAAUGCUAUGGCUCAACCAUAGCACUGCACUCUAAACUGGCAAACUUGAGAAUAUGAGAGGUCGCUGGAAUUCCAGGUGUAGGAGUGAAAUCCGUAGAUAUCUGGAGGAACACCAAUGGCGAAGGCAGGCGACUGGCAUAUUUCUGACGCUAAGGCUCGAAAGCGUGGGGAGCGAACGGG
This 254-nucleotide ribosomal RNA is filed under the name uncultured bacterium. RNAcentral describes it as "partial 16S ribosomal RNA". It matches the Rfam family "Bacterial small subunit ribosomal RNA", at positions 524 to 776 of the family's 1533-position model. The record is from RNAcentral.